UACAGAGGGUGCAAGCGUUGUUCGGAAUUAUUGGGCGUAAAGGGCGCGUAGGCGGUGCGGUAAGUCUGCGGUGGAAAUCUCCCGGCUCAACUGGGAGGCUGCCGUGGAAACUGCCGGGCUAGAGUCCGGAAGAGGCGAGUGGAAUUCCGUGGUGUAGCGGUGGAAUGCGCAGAUAUCAGGAGGAACACCAAUAGCGAAGGCAGCUCGCUGGGACGGUACUGACGCUGAGGCGCGAAAGCGUGGGGAGCGAACAGG
RNAcentral lists this ribosomal RNA (255 nucleotides) under uncultured bacterium. RNAcentral's name for it is "partial 16S ribosomal RNA". It matches the Rfam family "Bacterial small subunit ribosomal RNA", at positions 524 to 776 of the family's 1533-position model. The record is from RNAcentral.